GACUUCUUCAGCCUUACCCUUAUAUUGUGUGGUCUUUCCGCGUUUGUCCAAGUAAUUGUUAUUAACAUCUACCACCGUGGUGACAGGAAAUGUCACAUUGGGUGAAAAGAGUGAUUUUAAAUCCUUUAUCUAAGAUAACACUAACUGAGGCACUCUGGAUGAAUAAAAGGACACAACCCGGGGAUAGAACAGAAGAUGACUACUCGGUUGAAGUUCUAGACAACACUAAAGAAUGGGAGAUGUUAUCAAUCUGUAUCGACAGAGUAGGGCUGACUGUGUUCUUAGCAACUCUAACCAUAGGAAGCAUUUCUAUUUUUGCAAAUUUCAUUGAAUGAUAAAAAAAAUGGAGUUUGUAUUCUGUCUAGAUAGUAAAGCUUCAUGUACAAAGACAAUUAUGAAA
This is a long non-coding RNA of Mytilus californianus (California mussel), 400 nucleotides long. RefSeq lists it as uncharacterized. NCBI's taxonomy places the organism in Eukaryota, Metazoa, Mollusca, Bivalvia, Mytilida, Mytilidae. The transcript has 2 exons. The record is from RefSeq and is a predicted model, not a curated record.